This 250-nucleotide ribosomal RNA is filed under the name uncultured bacterium. RNAcentral describes it as "partial 16S ribosomal RNA". It matches the Rfam family "Bacterial small subunit ribosomal RNA", at positions 524 to 773 of the family's 1533-position model. The record is from RNAcentral.
UACAGAGACCUCAAGCGUUAUCCGGAUUCAUUGGGCGUAAAGCGUCCGCAGGUGGUUUUGUAAGUGAGUGGUUAAAUCCCAAUGCUUAACGUUGGGACUGCUAUUCAUACUGCAAAACUUGAGACUGGGAGAGGCAUACGGAACGCAUAGUGUAGUCGUAAUAAGCGCUGAUAUUAUGCGGAACACCAAAGGCGAAGGCAGUAUGCUGGAACAUGUCUGACACUCAGGGACGAAAGCGUGGGUAGCGAAU